CUGAGACAGCCCCUACUGGAGCACCUCCUGGGGAGCAGCCAGAUGUCAUCCCCGCCCAGGGUGACCUGCUGGGUGACCUCCUCAACCUGGACCUCGGUCCCCCAGUGAGCGGCCCACCCCUGGCCACCUCCUCGGUGCAGAUGGGAGCUGUGGACCUUCUUGGCGGUGGCCUUGACAGCCUGAUUGGGGGCACCAACUUCGUGGCACCUCCAACAGCAGCAGUACCAGCCAAUCUUGGAGCACCCAUUGGCAGUGGCUUGAGUGACCUCUUUGACCUGACCAGUGGCGUGGGCACCCUGUCAGGAUCAUAUGUGGCCCCCAAAGCAGUCUGGCUCCCAGCCAUGAAGGCUAAGGGGCUGGAGAUCUCGGGCACCUUCACGCGCCAGGUGGGCUCCAUCUCCAUGGACCUGCAGCUGACCAACAAGGCCUUGCAGGUCAUGACCGACUUUGCCAUCCAGUUCAACCGCAACAGCUUUGGCCUGGCCCCCGCCGCCCCCCUCCAGGUCCACGCGCCACUCAGCCCCAACCAGACAGUGGAGAUCUCCCUGCCUCUCAGCACGGUGGGCUCGGUCAUGAAGAUGGAGCCUCUGAACAACCUCCAGAGGUGGCGUCAAGCCCCAGAGACUGACUGGGGACCCCCUUGUGCCUAGGUGGCCGUGAAGAACAACAUCGAUGUCUUCUACUUCAGCACCUUGUACCCACUGCACAUACUCUUUGUGGAGGAUGG
RNAcentral lists this small RNA (727 nucleotides) under Pongo abelii (Sumatran orangutan). RNAcentral describes it as "processed transcript". The record is from RNAcentral. Lineage: Eukaryota; Metazoa; Chordata; Mammalia; Primates; Hominidae.